RNAcentral lists this unclassified non-coding RNA (29 nucleotides) under Dictyostelium discoideum. The record is from RNAcentral. Lineage: Eukaryota; Evosea; Eumycetozoa; Dictyosteliales; Dictyosteliaceae.
UCGUAGGCACUACUUGGGUGAGAGUGGUC